GUGCCAGCAGCCGCGGUAAUACGAAGGGGGCUAGCGUUGCUCGGAAUCACUGGGCGUAAAGGGCGCGUAGGCGGCGUUUUAAGUCGGGGGGUGAAAGCCUGUGGCUCAACCACAGAAUGGCCUUCGAUACUGGGACGCUUGAGUAUGGUAGAGGUUGGUGGAAACUGCGAGUGUAGAGGUGAAAUUCGUAGAUAUUCGCAAGAACACCCGGUGGCGAAGGCGGCCAACUGGACCAUUACUGACGCUGAGGCGCGAAAGCGUGGGGAGCAAACAGGAUUAGAUACCCUGGUAGUCC
Molecule: ribosomal RNA, 295 nt
Filed under: uncultured microorganism
Description: partial 16S ribosomal RNA
Rfam family: Bacterial small subunit ribosomal RNA
Source: RNAcentral